GAUGAACGCUGACAGAAUGCUUAACACAUGCAAGUCGAUGGGGAAGUGGUGCUUGCACCAUGGUAACCAUGGCGGACGGGUGAGUAACGCGUAAGGAACUUACCUGUGGGACCGGGAUAACAGCAGGAAACUGCUGACAAGACCGGAUAAGGUCAUUAAGCUGCAUAGCUUAGUGAUGAAAGGAGACGCCUGCGGAGAGCCUUGCGUCCUAUUAGCUAGUUGGAGGGGUAACGGCCCACCAAGGCGAAGAUAGGUAGCCGGCCUGAGAGGGUGGACGGCCACAAGGGGACUGAGAUACGGCCCUUACUCCUACGGGAGGCAGCAGUGGGGAAUAUUGGACAAUGGGGGCAACCCUGAUCCAGCAAUUCUGUGUGCACGAAGACGGUUUUCGGAUUGUAAAGUGCUUUCAGCAGGGAAGAAGGAAGUGACGGUACCUGCAGAAGAAGCGACGGCUAAAUACGUG
This 463-nucleotide ribosomal RNA is filed under the name uncultured bacterium. Its description in RNAcentral is "partial 16S ribosomal RNA". It matches the Rfam family "Bacterial small subunit ribosomal RNA", at positions 28 to 507 of the family's 1533-position model. The record is from RNAcentral.